CUGCAUUCAAAGUUGUCUAUGGCAUUAGAUUUAACAACCUCAUGUGCCAGACAGCUAUUCUAAAUUUUCCAAACUAAUAAGAGACGUAUCAGUAACAUAAAAGUAAAUAAUUGAUCAACCUUCCUCACCCCAUUUAAGAUCUUACUUUCAUUUACUGUCAGUGAAACUCACCUAAAGCUUCCACUGUAGUUAUAACUGAAUUAUGAAAUGUACUCACUAAAAGGCAACUUCCCUUCUUUUCAUUUGUUAUUCAUGAGAUAUUUAUCCCCAAAAACAACAUAACUUCAGAUGAAAAGCCGAAUAGAACUGCUGAACUUAAAAAAAAUAUUGCUUUCUCUUCGAAUUCACAAUAUUUCUUCAUAGAGAAUCAAUUUUCCAUGAUACAUAUAUAUUAACUAUAUUCCACAUAAGUUAUACCAUUUUUAACUACUGUCUAAUAAUUCAAACAAGGUUCUAU
This 457-nucleotide long non-coding RNA is filed under the name Carica papaya (papaya). Its description in RNAcentral is "long non-coding RNA (CPAP_LNC011656)". Lineage: Eukaryota; Viridiplantae; Streptophyta; Magnoliopsida; Brassicales; Caricaceae. The record is from RNAcentral.